UAUAGCGGGCAAGGAGAAGAGAGUCAAUUCCUUUAGAGAGCCACAGGUCCACAGCUGAUGGCGUCGGUACCUCCCGCCAAGACACACGGCUGGCCUCACUGGAGUGCCGUUAUAUUUUCAGCCUGUAUAGAGGUGACAGUGCCGUGACAGAGAUGGUGGAGGUUAUUAAUGCACCAAGGAACAGGUGUGUAAGGUGUGGCAGUGGUGUUGAUAAGGGAUUAGUGUGUAAGAAGGGAAAGAAGUGUGGUGGGCCGAGUGCGUGUCAACAAAUUUAGUGGUGACAGUGGUGAUGGCCGUGUGGUGUUGCUUAUACACCCCAUAAACACACUCAAACACCCCGCAACACAUCCACAAUAUGCCCAUAUACACCCACACACACACAAGGUGAAGUGAUGACAUUCCCGACAGCACCAGCGGCGAGACAAGAGAGCAAUGCAAAUCUUCACCACAACGCCUCACCAUCAUUUAUUUCAGGCUCAGGCGUGUAGAUGGAAGCAGUAGAAGAAAGAAAGAAGGAGAAUGAAGAAGAAUGGAAAUGGAAGAAGAGGAGGAGCCAAGCCACAAUAUUUAGGUCCGCAGAAAACGACACGCCAAUUUAUUUGAAGUCCUUGACGGAGAUUAAAACGGCCUUGAAAAACACCACACCCGUUUUGUCCACCGCCAUCACCACCACCUCCCAGAUCAAGGACAAAGUGUAUUACUGUCUGACACAUAAGGAAGAGGAGCGAGCCAUGAGGGAGGCGGUGGAGGUGUGGGGGGGUUUCAGCACACUAUCAGUUCAUGCUUGGGAUGGGACACACUGGGACAGCCUGGGACCGUUGGUGGGAGCAAGACAAGGCUGUGGCAAUUCUGCGGAGGUUUGCCACUCAGACCUGUUGCCAUGUUACUAUUAUUGCACAUCUUAAGAAGCCUAUAGCCUCAGGGCAUAACGAGUCUUCACUCACGAGAGAGAGAGGGCGCGAGAUUCAGACGUGCGCAGGGAGACGAUAAGGGUGUGGUGUGAAUGAGCAAGUGAGAGAGCUGGCAUUGGGAGCCGAGCGGGAAAGGCAGCGCGGCAUGUGUAGGCUACGGGAGGCUAGCCAAGAUGUAUGAAGAUUGUACUGUACUUAUGCUAUGGAAUGGUUUUGUUACUGUAAAGCAUACUUAAGAAAUAUAAAAAUAUGGCUGAUU
RNAcentral lists this unclassified non-coding RNA (1170 nucleotides) under Portunus trituberculatus (swimming crab). RNAcentral describes it as "uncharacterized LOC123506776, transcript variant X1". The record is from RNAcentral. Lineage: Eukaryota; Metazoa; Arthropoda; Malacostraca; Decapoda; Portunidae.